GAGGGUAUAGCUCAAGUGGUAGAGUGCAUGCUUGUACAUGCAUGAGGUCCUGGGUUCAAUCCCUAGUACCUCCU
This 74-nucleotide transfer RNA is filed under the name Camelus bactrianus (Bactrian camel). It matches the Rfam family "tRNA". From Rfam's summary of the family: Transfer RNA (tRNA) molecules are approximately 80 nucleotides in length. Their secondary structure includes four short double-helical elements and three loops (D, anti-codon, and T loops). Further hydrogen bonds mediate the characteristic L-shaped molecular structure. tRNAs have two regions of fundamental functional importance: the anti-codon, which is responsible for specific mRNA codon recognition, and the 3' end, to which the tRNAs corresponding amino acid is attached (by aminoacyl-tRNA synthetases). tRNAs cope with the degeneracy of the genetic code in two manners: having more than one tRNA (with a specific anti-codon) for a particular amino acid; and 'wobble' base-pairing, i.e. permitting non-standard base-pairing at the 3rd anti-codon position. RNAcentral also lists the same sequence under 1 other name. Lineage: Eukaryota; Metazoa; Chordata; Mammalia; Artiodactyla; Camelidae. The record is from Rfam by way of RNAcentral.